UACGGAGGGUCCAAGCGUUAUCCGGAAUUACUGGGCGUAAAGAGUUGCGUAGGUGGCAGGGUAAGUUGAUAGGGAAAGCGUGCGGCUCAACCGCAUACACAUUAUCAAAACUGCUCAGCUAGAGGGCGAGAGAGGUAACUGGAAUUCCUAGUGUAGGAGUGAAAUCCGUAGAUAUUAGGAGGAACACCGAUGGCGUAGGCAGGUUACUGGCUCGUCCCUGACACUAAGGCACGAAAGCGUGGGGAGCAAACGGG
RNAcentral lists this ribosomal RNA (254 nucleotides) under uncultured bacterium. Its description in RNAcentral is "partial 16S ribosomal RNA". It matches the Rfam family "Bacterial small subunit ribosomal RNA", at positions 524 to 776 of the family's 1533-position model. The record is from RNAcentral.